Argentina anserina (silverweed cinquefoil) is the source of this 508-nucleotide long non-coding RNA. RefSeq lists it as uncharacterized. The record is from RefSeq and is a predicted model, not a curated record. NCBI's taxonomy places the organism in Eukaryota, Viridiplantae, Streptophyta, Magnoliopsida, Rosales, Rosaceae. The transcript is spliced from 3 exons.
AUAUAUACUCCACUCCUCUAGUUGAUAUUCAGCCCCUAAUUGAGAAGAGAAUGAUGAGGACAGAAACCUCAUGCCUGAGCCUUCUCUUUCUUCUUCCUCUAGUAGUGGCUGACUUACGGUUGAUUUCUACAGUACUACCUGCCCGAAAGCAGAACAAAUUAUACAACAAGUCGUCCAGAAAAAGUUCUCUACUGAUCGAUCUAUAACAGCUGCUUUGCUUCGCAUGCAUUUCCACGAUUGCUUUGUGAGAGGUUGCGAUGCUUCCAUCCUUAUCGACUCCACCAAGAAAAAGGCGUCAGAGAAAUCCGCAGGGCCAAACUUGACUGUAAGAGGGUUUGAGGUCAUCGAUGAAGCAAAGAAAGCACUUGAAGCUGCAUGUUGUUAGGAAAAUGUGCAAAUGAUCGGAAACACGUCAAGAAGAGUGGAUUUAGCGCACAUUAUGGAUUCGGGUGAAAGUUUCAAGCCAAAAAGAGCAAAUGUGGAGAUUUCAUAAGAAACGAAAAGUCAA